Molecule: ribosomal RNA, 460 nt
Filed under: uncultured bacterium
Lineage: Bacteria
Description: partial 16S ribosomal RNA
Rfam family: Bacterial small subunit ribosomal RNA
Source: RNAcentral
CCUACGGGUGGCAGCAGUGAGGAAUAUUGGGCAAUGGGCGCGAGCCUGAAGCAGCCAAGCAGCGUGAAGGAUGACGGCCCGAUGGGUGGUAAACUUCUUUUAUAUGGGAAUAAAGUGCAGUAUGUAUACCGCUUUGCAUGUACCUUAUGAAUAAGGAUCGGCUAACUCCGUGCCAGCAGCCGCGGUAAUACGGAGGGUCCGAGCGUUAUCCGGAUUUAUUGGGUUUAAAGGGAGCGUAGGCGGGUUGUUAAGUCAGUUGUGAAAGUUUGCGGCUCAACCGUAAAAUUGCAGUUGAUACUGGCAUCCUGGAGUGCAGUAGAGGUAGGCGGAAUUCGUGGUGUAGCGGUGAAAUGCUUAGAUAUCACGAAGAACUCCGAUUGCGAAGGCAGCCUGCUGGACUGUAACUGACGCUGAUGCUCGAAAGUGUGGGUAUCAAACAGGAUUAGAUACCCCAGUAGUC